ACAGGGAUUGCCCUAGUAACGGCGAAGUGAAGCGGCAACAGCUCAAAUUUGAAAUCUGGCUCUUUCAGAGUCCGAGUUGUAAUUUGCAGAGGGCGCUUUGGCUUUGGCAGCGGUCCAAGUUCCUUGGAACAGGACGUCACAGAGGGUGAGAAUCCCGUACGUGGUCGCUAGCUAUUGCCGUGUAAAGCCCCUUCGACGAGUCGAGUUGUUUGGGAAUGCAGCUCUAAAUGGGAGGUAAAUUUCUUCUAAAGCUAAAUAUUGGCCAGAGACCGAUAGCGCACAAGUAGAGUGAUCGAAAGAUGAAAAGCACUUUGGAAAGAGAGUCAAACAGCACGUGAAAUUGUUGAAAGGGAAGCGCUUGCAGCCAGACUUGCUUGCAGUUGCUCAUCCGGGCUUUUGCCCGGUGCACUCUUCUGUAGGCAGGCCAGCAUCAGUUUGGGCGGUGGGAUAAAGGUCUCUGUCACGUACCUCUCUUCGGGGAGGCCUUAUAGGGGAGACGACAUACCACCAGCCUGGACUGAGGUCCGCGCAUCUGCUAGGAUGCUGGCGUAAUGGCUGUAAGCGGCCCGUCUUGAAACACGGACCAAGGAGUCUAACAUCUAUGCGAGUGUUUGGGUGUCAAGCCCGAGCGCGUAAUGAAAGUGAACGGAGGUGGGAACCCGCAAGGGUGCACCAUCGACCGAUCCUGAAGUUUACGGAAGGAUUUGAGUAAGAGCAUGGCUGUUGGGACCCGAAAGAUGGUGAACUAUGCUUGAAUAGGGUGAAGCCAGAGGAAACUCUGGUGGAGGCUCGCAGCGGUUCUGACGUGCAAAUCGAUCGUCAAAUUUGGGCAUAGGGGGCGAAAGACUAAUCGAA
This 855-nucleotide ribosomal RNA is filed under the name Curvularia micropus. RNAcentral describes it as "eukaryotic LSU rRNA". It matches the Rfam family "Eukaryotic large subunit ribosomal RNA", at positions 68 to 939 of the family's 3401-position model. The record is from RNAcentral. Lineage: Eukaryota; Fungi; Ascomycota; Dothideomycetes; Pleosporales; Pleosporaceae.